This 187-nucleotide non-coding RNA is filed under the name Leptospira wolffii. The record is from RNAcentral. Lineage: Bacteria; Pseudomonadati; Spirochaetota; Leptospiria; Leptospirales; Leptospiraceae.
GCCCCAUGACUUCGGAUUGGGAAGCUGGCUCUACAGGCAAAUCGGAACCAGGGAAUCCGGUGUAAAUCCGGAGCUGUACCCGCAGCUGUAAGCGCCAAUAUGGACGGAAAAAUAUCCACUGUCUUAUGACGGGAAGGAUUCCGAAUCCGGCGCGAGCCAGAAGACCUCCCGAUCGCCUUUCGUCAUU